AAGGUGCUGCAUGGUUGUCGUCAGCUCGUGCCGUGAGGUGUCGGGUUAAGUCCCAUAACGAGCGCAACCCCUAUCUUUAGUUGCCAUCAUUGAGUUGGGCACUCUAAAGAGACUGCCGGUGUCAAACCGGAGGAAGGUGGGGAUGACGUCAAGUCCUCAUGGCCUUUAUGACCAGGGCUACACACGUACUACAAUGGCCGGUACAAAGGGCAGCGACACAGCGAUGUGAAGCCAAUCCCGAAAAGCCGGUCUCAGUCCGGAUUGGAGUCUGCAACUCGACUCCAUGAAGUUGGAAUCGCUAGUAAUCGCGGAUCAGCACGCCGCGGUGAAUACGUUCCCGGGCCUU
RNAcentral lists this ribosomal RNA (346 nucleotides) under uncultured Desulfocapsa sp. RNAcentral's name for it is "bacterial SSU rRNA". It matches the Rfam family "Bacterial small subunit ribosomal RNA", at positions 1035 to 1382 of the family's 1533-position model. The record is from RNAcentral. Lineage: Bacteria; Pseudomonadati; Thermodesulfobacteriota; Desulfobulbia; Desulfobulbales; Desulfocapsaceae.